This 253-nucleotide ribosomal RNA is filed under the name uncultured bacterium. RNAcentral's name for it is "partial 16S ribosomal RNA". It matches the Rfam family "Bacterial small subunit ribosomal RNA", at positions 524 to 776 of the family's 1533-position model. The record is from RNAcentral.
GACGGAGGGUGCAAGCGUUGUUCGGAAUUACUGGGCGUAAAGGGCGCGUAGGCGGUCUGUUAAGUUCGGUGUGAAAGCCCCCGGCUCACCUGGGGAACUGCGCCGGAAACCGACAGACUCGAGUACCGGAGAGGAGGGUGGAAUUCCUGGUGUAGCGGUGAAAUGCGUAGAUAUCGAGAGGAACACCUGCGGCGAAGGCGGCAUCCUGGACCGACACUGACACUGAGGAGCGAAAGCCAGGGGAGCAAACGGG